GCUUGCACCCAUAUCACUCUGCAACUCACAACUGGCAACCCGCUUAAGCGAAGCAGGUAUGAGCCUGGUCAGUACGUGGACGGGAGACCUCCUGGGAAAAACAGGUUUCUGCUAGAA
RNAcentral lists this ribosomal RNA (117 nucleotides) under Lepisosteus oculatus (spotted gar). The record is from RNAcentral. Lineage: Eukaryota; Metazoa; Chordata; Actinopteri; Semionotiformes; Lepisosteidae.